CGCAAUUUGUAUGUGUCCAGGAAUGUUUUAAAAUGGAUAUUAAUUGUUAUUGGACUGAAUUAUUGGAGAAAAAGUAGAUUUGAAAGAAAGAACAUCAAAACAAAUUUGUUUGUAAAAUACCUGCUGAAGAGGGACAUACAGAUCCGAA
Long non-coding RNA from Centruroides sculpturatus (bark scorpion), 148 nucleotides. RefSeq lists it as uncharacterized. The record is from RefSeq and is a predicted model, not a curated record. The transcript is spliced from 3 exons. Lineage: Eukaryota; Metazoa; Arthropoda; Arachnida; Scorpiones; Buthidae.